CAAUGGGCGAAAGCCUGACGGAGCAAUACCGCGUGAGGGAGGAAGGCUCUUGGGUUGUAAACCUCUUUUCUCAGGGAAGAAAAAAAUGACGGUACCUGAGGAAUAAGCAUCGGCUAACUCCGUGCCAGCAGCCGCGGUAAUACGGAGGAUGCAAGCGUUAUCCGGAAUGAUUGGGCGUAAAGCGUCCGCAGGUGGCGAUGAAAGUCUGCUGUUAAAGAGUGAGGCUCAACCUCAUCCAAGCAGUGGAAACUACAUAGCUAGAGUACGUUCGGGGCAGAGGGAAUUCCUGGUGUAGCGGUGAAAUGCGUAGAGAUCAGGAAGAACACCGGUGGCGAAAGCGCUCUGCUAGGCCUGUACUGAC
Molecule: ribosomal RNA, 361 nt
Filed under: Aulosira laxa K108
Lineage: Bacteria; Bacillati; Cyanobacteriota; Cyanophyceae; Nostocales; Fortieaceae
Description: bacterial SSU rRNA
Rfam family: Bacterial small subunit ribosomal RNA
Source: RNAcentral